GAUGAACGCUAGCGGAAGGCCUAAUACAUGCAAGUCGAACGGGCAUAUUGAUUUCGGUUAAUAUGUUAGUGGCGCACGGGUGAGUAACGCGUACACAACCUACCUUAUAUUGGGGGAUAGCCCAGGGAAACUUGGAGUAAUACCGCAUAAGCCCGCAAGGGGAAAGAUUUAUCGCCUUUAGAUGGGCCCGCGUCUGAUUAGCUAGUUGGUGAGGUAAUGGCUCACCAAGGCGACGAUCAGUAGCUGGUUUGAGAGAAUGACCAGCCACACUGGGACUGAGACACGGCCCAGACUCCUACGGGAGGCAGCAGUGGGGAAUUUUGGACAAUGGGCGCAAGCCUGAUCCAGCCAUGCCGCGUGCGGGACGAAGGCC
Molecule: ribosomal RNA, 373 nt
Filed under: uncultured bacterium
Lineage: Bacteria
Description: bacterial SSU rRNA
Rfam family: Bacterial small subunit ribosomal RNA
Source: RNAcentral